ACGUGGGUCUGGGAUAACCUUGAAAUAUACCGGUUCUUGGUACAGUAUAUGGAAAUGAUUAAGAAAAUUGAUUUGACUACAUAUGUUACCAAAAACGCACUAAUUUUUUUAAUCACACAUCCAUUUAGAAUUACAAGAUUAAGCGUAUUUGAGAUGGAGUAGUAGAAGAAAGGUGAUCCAUCAGAGAUUGAUUCGCGAUACCGUGUAAAUGAGGCCAAAGCACGGAAAAAAGUCAUGUAGUGAUUGCAUAGUCAGUAAGCAAUGAUUUUGAGCCUUCAAAAUAUUAUUGCACCGUCCGUCGAAUAGAAUGGUCCCGCGGACUGAAUGAACAAGAAUGGUAACCUAUUAGCCGUAGGUGGGCGGAGAGUUAUAAACCUGUUAAUAGCAAUUGAAGACUUAGUUAUAAGUUUGAACAAUUCACCAUUGAAUACAUUUUGUUUCUGGUAAUCAGAAA
RNAcentral lists this long non-coding RNA (454 nucleotides) under Brassica napus (rape). RNAcentral's name for it is "long non-coding RNA (BNAP_LNC007711)". The record is from RNAcentral. Lineage: Eukaryota; Viridiplantae; Streptophyta; Magnoliopsida; Brassicales; Brassicaceae.